AAAAGUAUGUAAGGGCACAUGGCGGAUGCCUAGGCUCACAGAGGCGAUGAAGGACGUGAUAAGCUGCGAUAAGCCGCGCGUAGGUGCACAUAGCCGUUGAUGCGCGGAUUUCCGAAUGGGGCAACCCGCACGGGUGAAGCCUGUGCAUGUCCGUUUUUUUGGCGGACAGGCGAACGCAGGGAACUGAAACAUCUUAGUACCUGCAGGAAGAGAAAAUAACAAUGAUUCCCCCAGUAGUGGCGAGCGACCGGGGAAUAGCCCAAACCUGUUCUGUACGUUGUGCAUUUCAGGGGUUGUAGGAGCACUUUAAUUGGACAGUUGCAUCAAGGAGAACUGCCUGGAACGGCAGACCGUAGUGGAUGAGAGUUCCGUAUCCGCAAAUUGCGACCGUCCCUGUGUCAUCCUGAGUAGCGCGGGACACGUGUAAUCCUGUGUGAAUCUGCCGGGCCCAUCCGGCAAGGCUAAAUACUCCUGUGAGACCGAUAGUGAACCAGUACCGUGAGGGAAAGGUGAAAAGCACUCCGACGAGGAGAGUGAAAUAGUUCCUGAAACCAUGUGCCUACAAGCUGUCGGAGCCAUAUUUUUUUAUGGUGACGGCGUGCCUUUUGCAUAAUGAACCUACGAGUUGCCGUCACUGGCGAGGUUAAGCGGUUCAUCCGCGUAUCCGCAGUGCAAGCGAGCCUUAAACGGGCGUAUAGUCAGUGGAGGCAGACGCGAAACCGAGUGAUCUACACAUGGCCAGGGUGAAGUUCCGGUAACACGGAAUGGAGGCCCGCACCGAUAAGCGUUGAAAAGCUUCCGGAUGAGCUGUGUGUAGGAGUGAAAGGCCAAUCAAACUCGGAGAUAGCUCGUACUCCCCGAAAGGCAUUUAGGUGCCGCGUCAUGUUUGGUCUGUGAGAGGUAGAGCGACCGAUAGGUCAAGAGGGCUUCACCGCCUAUCGCGACCUGACGAACUCCGAAUGCUCACCAGACAGUUUCAUGGCAGUAAGGGUGCGGGUGCUAAGGUCCGUACCCGAGAGGAGAAGAAUCCAGACCGUCAUCUAAGGUCCCGAAGUCCUGUCUGAGUUAGUCUAACGAAGUAUGUCUCCCGUGACAGCCAGGAUGUUGGCUUGGAAGCAGCCAUUCAUUCAAAGAGUGCGUAACAGCUCACUGGUCGAGGGGACGUGCGUGGAUAAUAAUCGGGUAUCAAGACAGGCACCGAAGGUGCGGGAUAGCAAUUUUAAAAGUAUCGGUAGGGGAGCAUUCCAUGCUGCGCUGAAUGCGUUUGGUGACGGAUGCUGGAGCGCAUGGAAAAGCAAAUGUAGGUAUAAGUAACGUAAAGAGGGGUAGGAUUCCCCUCCGCCGCAAGACUAAGGUUUCCCGGGCGAUGCCAAUCAUCCCGGGGUCAGUCGGGUCCUAAGUUUCAUCCUAAUGGAGAGAGCGAUGGCAGAAACGGUUAAUAUUCCGUUACUAGCGUUGGAGAGCGAUGGGGAGACGAAGUUGUGACACCGUCGCGUGCUGCCGGACAUGCACGUUGAAGAGUGUAGCAGUUGAGGGAUGCAGGCAAAUCCGCAUUCCGAUGCGAACUUGAGAGUACCGUAUCCGCUUUUGCGGAGACGGACAGCACGGGUAACCAUACUUCCUAGAAAAUCCUCUAAGCGUCAAUCUCCUUCGGUACCCGUACCGCAAACGGACACACGUAGUCGAGUUGAGUAUACUAAGGCGUUGAGCGAUUCAUGGUUAAGGAAUUAGGCAAAAUAGCCCCGUAACUUCGGGAUAAGGGGUCCUUGCUUUUUUAGUGAGGCGCAGAGAAUAGGUCCAGGCAACUGUUUACCAAAAACACAGGGCUGUGCUAAUUAGAAAUACGACGUAUACAGCCUGACACCUGCCCGGUGCCGGAAGGUUAAGAGGAGGGCUCAUCCGCCUAUGCGGUGAAGGUCUGAAUUGAAGCCCCGGUAAACGGCGGCCGUAACUAUAACGGUCCUAAGGUAGCGAAAUUCCUUGUCGGGUAAGUUCCGACCUG
Molecule: ribosomal RNA, 2002 nt
Filed under: gut metagenome
Description: bacterial LSU rRNA
Rfam family: Bacterial large subunit ribosomal RNA
Source: RNAcentral